RNAcentral lists this non-coding RNA (90 nucleotides) under uncultured Bartonella sp. Its description in RNAcentral is "Glycine riboswitch". It matches the Rfam family "Glycine riboswitch aptamer", at positions 9 to 86 of the family's 94-position model. From Rfam's summary of the family: This family represents the bacterial glycine riboswitch. Glycine riboswitches usually consist of two metabolite-binding aptamers domains with similar structures in tandem. The aptamers cooperatively bind glycine to regulate the expression of downstream genes. Lineage: Bacteria; Pseudomonadati; Pseudomonadota; Alphaproteobacteria; Hyphomicrobiales; Bartonellaceae. The record is from RNAcentral.
AGCUCUGGAAAGUCGGGGAACACCCCGCGCCGAAGGUGUAAGUGGGAAGAUAGUAUUCCUACGAGUCUCUCAGGCUUUAGACAGAGGGGU